CGUGCCCAGCCACUCUUUAAGAACUGUAGCAGUCACCGCGAGGGUCCGCGGCUUCAUUCUGGAAGCCAUUGAGACUGAGAACCCGCCAAUUCCGGACACAAUUUCAUAGUACAUCAGUAUGGUCCAAUACAGGUACCUCCUCAGGAAACUCUGAAAAAGAAGAAGUAGAAAUAGUAUGAGACAAGAAACAGUCAUAUUCCAAAGAAUGAAAUACUGUUACAAAUGAUGGAUCCAGAAAAUCUUAUCUGGCAACUUGCUGUUAUUUUCAGUAAGCCUGAUGAUGAAGAAGAAAGGAAAGAA
Molecule: long non-coding RNA, 300 nt
Organism: Homo sapiens (human)
Lineage: Eukaryota; Metazoa; Chordata; Mammalia; Primates; Hominidae
Exons: 3
Source: RefSeq, a predicted model, not a curated record